AUGAUUCAGUUACUGUUGGAGGAGCACAGCCAUUCCAUGAUGCUGAAAUACAUUGACUACCUACCAACCUUUUGUUACCACCAUACAAUCCACACUUCAAUGGGGCCUUUAUUUUUAUUUUUUGAUGAGGAGGAGGAGGAGGAAGAGGAGGGAUGAAGCAGGUGGGAGGGCCAGAUGAGGAGACUGAUAGUUGAGGUGACUGAAGAGCCAUCAUGUGAAGAGGGGCAGCUACAGCUCUUUGAGAGUGACUCUGGGGAGGAGGAGUCUUCCUACAGACACAUAGGUGUUGUGAGGUUAGACUGGGUUGGACAGACUGGGUCCCACUCAGACAGACAGAUAUCUGAGCUGUCUGGUCUCAGCUCUGUGGUUCUGCUCACACAGCCAAACUCACACAACCACUCUGGUAUAGUUGUCCAGAUGCUCAGCUCACCUGUCUGUCACCUGACGUCCCUAUAGAGCCCCACCCACUCUCAUGAGACUAGAUGCACUCUUCACCCACCUGGCUAAGAUCUAACGAUGGGCUCUUCCCUGUUUACAUGAGGUGCGCUCAGUUCACUUGAACAUUUGCUACAUUGCGGAACGGUUUGUACUGAAAAAAACGUUUCCCCAAAACAUUCUUGUACGUUCUUGAACAGACUUCUAGGUACGUUUCCUCCCGUUUGGGCGGGUGUGGCUUGAAGCAAUGAGUGACGUAUUUAAAGGGCAGUGGCCAUGCUGACAGCAGUCAUUCAGUACAGCACUGUUUCUGUUCAAUGGAAUGUUCCAGAACGUAAAAAUGUACUGAACCCAGUCCUGGCUUGCUCCCCCGUUCUCACCAACCUGCUUCUAAUUGGUUCACUCUCCUGUCUCCGCCUGCUUUGCUUACCUGAGCUUUUCACCUGAUUAGUUCCUUUGUAUCAACAGUCCUUUCUCUGAUUGGUUCACCUGACUGGCUCCUCCCUGUUUACCUGAUUGGCCCCACCCUGCUGACCCCCGGCUGGCUGUGAUUGGCCCCCUUGCCUGGCAGGCUCCACCCUACUGACAGUCAAACACAGCAGCUUCGCAGUGCUUCUUUUACUAUUUUGUUUUUUGUUGUUUUCUCUUUGUCAGAGAUAGCCUGCUCUCUUUCCACAUAUUUAAUGAAGUGCCGUACAGUUACAGCUUUAGUUCACAUUUACAUAUGCGUUAACAGCUAACCUACUUCAGAGGAAGUUCCUUUGCUGUGUCUCUAAAAGUGAAGUUGUGCUACUUAUUUUAUUUAUUUUUAUGUGUUGAGUGUGUUUCAUUUGCAGUGCUAGACCAUGGCUAUGAGUGCUUUGUGCAAAGUGAAUCAUAACAAGGAAGAGCUCUUAUCUGAAUAAAAUAGCCACUAGAGCUCUUAUCUGACCAAUGGGCAGCCACGGGCCUUGCCUCGACUACUGAAGGUUUCCUUGUGCCGUUAAUGUGCAGUCUGGCAUGGCCUUAUGGGCAGGGCCCUGUACUGGGGGUGUCGCAGGGACUUUGGGCUUAGGGCUGCCAUCUGUGUAUCUCUCCUGUUACCUCAGUUGAACCAGAUGCAGUCAGAACUCCAAUCUAUGCAGACGUCAGAACUAAUAAUGCCACUUUGAAUCCAGUCAUGAGUCAAGGGCACCAAUCAAAAAGUGUUUAGAUGUAUUAAAGCAGCAUGAGUACCAAUCAGAAUGGUCUAUUCAGACCAUACACCAAUCAGAUUCCGUUGUUAUAAUGUGUUUCUCAGAAUGAUAUGCACCUAUGCACCUCCUCCUCCCCUGUUGCAGGGAUACUUCUAAUGGUGCUUUAGAUCACUGGUUCUCACAGAACAUGGUGUCCAGCCAGAGAAACAGCUGAGAGACAUGGACAUUGUACAUCCAUGUCAUACAAUAGGGAGUUGAUCCCAAAACCUGGUGUGCUUAUAUACGGUAGAAGACUGUGUUGUACAUAGAAUCAGCUGGAGAGACUCUGAGGAAAUGGUGCAAGGAGGCUAUAGAUUUUAUAUGUUUGAUGCCAUCCAUGGACACCCAUGAGAUUUCCUGCCAUACCUUUACAGCCGUCUCUCCUGCUCAUUGACUCCCUCCUACCUCCUCCUCAUCUUCUUCAUCCCCCCCUUUCUUCUUCUCUUCCAGCAGCCUGUGCUAACCCAAAUCCAAACCGAGUGACUCAUUUUGUCCUCAACAAGGAGGCCUGUGCCUCAUUCAUAUUGUAUACACAUAUACAGACACAUAUAUAUAUAUAUACACACACACACACACAUACAUAUAUAUAUAUAUAUAUAUAUAUAGAUAUAUGAGAGAGAGAGAGACCGAAACAUCUAUGAAGUGUGUCUAUGUGAGUUCAGAAUUCUGUCAAUAACAAAACAUAUUGAGCAUUAAAACAAGCUUUUUUUUUUUUUUUUUUUUUUUUUUUUUUUACUGGCCAAAGGAUAGUGUGGAGUGACUUAUGUGACUUUCCUCUGUUUUGUACAUUACAAGAAAAAACUCCUUAUCAGAAAGCACUCAACUGUCACAUAUGUCACCACAUCUGGGUACACCAGGACAACAGAAUUGAAGAUGACAACAAACAAAACACACAACACAGAGACUGGCUGGACAAUGCAUAUGCAAUGACGAAGUCACUCCAAAUCUCCACUUUAACAAAGGUAGUGAUAGUCCUCACUCACAAGUGCAAGUUUCUAUCCGCUGUGCUGCAGAAAAUAAUUUCUUUGAUACUUUAGUGAGCUGCAAAAAUAGGAUGUAUUCCCCUCUGUACAGAGAGACUUCCCUGUCUGUGGUUCUCACAAAGGAUAGUCUGGCCUAAGAAACCUUGAGACACAGGCCAAAGGAAAGGAGUGAGAAAAUGAUUCCAUUCUCAUUUAGAUGAGCUAAUGUUACAGUGUGCGAAAUCUAUUUUGAGACUCUCUCACAUACACACACGUGCACGUUCUCUUUCACACACACACACACACACACACACACACACACACACACACACACACACACACACACACACACACACACACACACACACACACACACACACACACACACCAUUGGGUUAGAGUGAGACCUGAGUCUCUGUACUGAGGGGAAUUUGCUAUGUCGGAUUAAGUGAUAUGACAUGCUAUUCUAUAGAAUAAUUUCUCUGUAAUUAAUAUUACCUGAUUAAACUAAUCAUGUAAAUGUAAUUAGCUAGAAAGUCGGGGAAAUAAUGUUUAUAGAGCUGUUAUCUUCUGAAUACACUCUUAACUUCUUAGUGAUCCCUUCGCGCGCCAAUCCCGUUUACGGGAUUGAUUUGACAACACCCAGUGAAAUUGCAGCGCGCCAAAUUCAAAAACAGAAAUACUCAUAAUAAUAAUUCAUAAAUCAUACAAGUGUUAACAAUAGGUUUAAAGAUGAACUUCUUGUUAAUCCAGCCACAGUGUCAGAUUUCAAAAAGGCUUUACAGCAAAAGCAAACCAUGCUAUUAUCUGAGGACAGCGCCCAGCAUACCAACACAUGAAAAUCAUAAUUCAACCCGCCAGGCGCGACACAAAAGUCAGAAAUAACUAUUUAAUUCAUGCCUUACCUUUGUAAUUAUUCUUCUGUUGGCACUCCAAUAUGUCCAUUAAAUAUCACAAAUGGUCCUUUUGUUCGAUAAAUUGUCGUUAUAUCCCCAAAAUGUCCAAUUAUUUGGCACGUUUCAUUCAGAAAAUACACCGGUUCCAACUCGCGUAACAUGACUACAAAGUAUCUAAUAAGUUACCUGUAAACGCUAUCCAAACAUUUCAAACAACUUUCCUAAUCCAACUUUAGGGAUUUCUUAACCUGUUGAACGUAGGGGGCAGUAUUUUGAUGUUUGAAUGAAAAACGUAUCCAAAUGAAACUACCUAUUUCUCAUGCCCAGAAUCUAGAAUAUGCAUAAAAUUAGAAAACACUCUAAAGUUUCCAAAACUGUCAAAAUAUUGUCUGUGAGUAUAACAGAACUGAUAUUACAGGCGAAAACCUGAGGAAAAUCCAACCCGGAAGUGUUGUUUUUCCUGAAAGCUCUCUGUUCCAUAGCCUGCCUUCGCUCCAUUUAAAGGGAUAUCAACCAGAUUCCUUUUCCUAUGGCUUCCCCAUGGUGUGAACAGUCUUUAGACAUAGUUUGAGGCUUUUAUUUUGAAAAAAUGAGCGAGAAAGAUCACAUCGCGUCAUUGGAUGGCUGGGUGCCAGCAGCGUUUUGCAUGUGCAAUAGCUUCUCUCUCUCUCCUAUUGAAGAAGCUACAGUCCGGUUGAAAUAUUAUCGGGUAUAUAUUGUAAAAACAUAUAUAUAUAUAAAAAAC
Molecule: long non-coding RNA, 4252 nt
Organism: Oncorhynchus mykiss (rainbow trout)
Lineage: Eukaryota; Metazoa; Chordata; Actinopteri; Salmoniformes; Salmonidae
Source: Ensembl